CUUUACUCCAAACAGUGUUAUGUUUAAUAUCAUCAGACGUACAAAGUCGAAGACCCCUUCAGUCUUCUACCCCUUUUUUCCUCACAAUACUAACCUCUGCCUGGUAGCAUGCCUCAAAGAGUACGAGCUACAGACCCAGCCAUUCAGGAAACCAACAACACAGGACCUGGUUUUGGCUCUGAAGAAACCUCAUCUCCCAGUAUCCACAGUGACUCUGGCAUGCUGGGUGAAAUGGAUAAUGUCAGCUGCUAACAUCGGCAUAUCAGUCUACGGAGCUCAUUCUACUAGAGGUGUUAUGGCUUUGAAGGCAUUCACCGUGGGUUGUAAAUUGGAAGACCUUCUCCACACAGCUGAUUGGUCUCGAGAAUCAACAUUCAAAGAGUACUACUUUCGUCCAGCAGAACACAUUUCUUCUAUGGUUAUCUCACAGCUUUAAACUAGCCUAGUAUGAGCCUCCGUGUCCUUUAAUAAAAUUACCAGGUUUUACUAAUUACACAACGUGAAGUCAUGAUUUUAUGAAGGACACGGAGGCGAGUAUUAGCCCACCCAAAGACGGGUAAGUCGUACGCUUUGUCUUCCUACCCAAUAUCAAUGGCAUGUAUGGUUUGUCUGGACUUUAAUGUGGGUUGCCAAAUACUUCUAAUGAUUUGGUUUUUUUGCUGGACUCAUGGGGGACAUGUUCGAUGUUAUGUGCCACUCUACCUCCAAAAACUGUGUGAGUGUGUGAUAUCCCCACAUAAAGGCAGCGUAGUUCAUUCAAUAGGACCAUCAAGAUGGAAAAAUAAGGCAGUACUAGUCAGAUCCCUUUUUAAAGUCCUCAUCAUAGGGAGGGACUGAAAAUAUUUUAGGUAGAUAAAGGAAAAGAGAAUAAUAGUAGCCUACAGACAAAGUCUAUACGUAAAAUUCUAUAAAGUGCGAUAAACAUCAAAUUAACUUAUGCUCCGUAAGAAACAGAAUCAUAGGACUAGCCAAGAAUGCCUCUGUGAAUCCUCGGCACACUGGCCAGAAAGCUUUUUGAUGCAAUGCACCAUUCUGGCUUAGAUUUUGACGUGGACCACUCCAUCCUUGUGUCCCUUUAUGACCAGUCUUACCUGCGUCAUAUUUUGGAUCCACAGCUGACUGUGGCUCAUUCUGGAACUCCUCUACUAGUGGGCUGUCUUGGGGGGUACUGUUGCGACCUCUGGCUCUGGCUCAGGAUGCUGCCAGAUACAUGUCAUUUUGGCUUGAUUUCUGACAUGGACUCCUCUCUCCCGGAGUCCUUUUAUGACCAGUCUUAUUGCAUCAUAUUUUGGAGCCUCAGAUUUGUUGGUAACCUACAAGACUUUUGCACACGUUCUGGCUUCAAAAUGUGACAGACCAGUUAAGAUGACAGAUCACCCAUCUGUUUGUCCAUUGCCCUGUUGUGUUCUUACAUACCCCAGAGAGUGUGUUUUACUAGUCUGAUUUAUUUGGUUACCAACUUGACUUGUUUAUCAUUGUCCCAGAUUUCUGCUAUCCUCAAUCUUGGCUAGUCCUAUAAUUUUUUAGAUAUAUUUUUAUAUUUUUA
Non-coding RNA from Pelobates cultripes (western spadefoot toad), 1546 nucleotides. The record is from the annotation of a GenBank genome assembly. Lineage: Eukaryota; Metazoa; Chordata; Amphibia; Anura; Pelobatidae.